CCUACGGGAGGCAGCAGUGGGGAAUAUUGCACAAUGGGGGAAACCCUGAUGCAGCAACGCCGCGUGAGUGAAGAAGUAUUUCGGUAUGUAAAGCUCUAUCAGCAGGGAAGAGAAUGACGGUACCUGACUAAGAAGCCCCGGCUAACUACGUGCCAGCAGCCGCGGUAAUACGUAGGGGGCGAGCGUUAUCCGGAUUUACUGGGUGUAAAGGGAGCGUAGACGGUUCUGCAAGUCUGAAGUGAAAGCCCGGGGCUUAACCGCGGAACGGCUUUGGAAACUGUGGAACUGGAGUGCUGGAGAGGCAAGCGGAAUUCGUAGUGUAGCGGUGAAAUGCGUAGAUAUUAGGAGGAACACCAGUGGCGAAGGCGGCUUGCUGGACAGUAACUGACGUUGAGGCUCGAAAGCGUGGGGAGCAAACAGGAUUAGAUACCCGAGUAGUC
RNAcentral lists this ribosomal RNA (440 nucleotides) under uncultured bacterium. RNAcentral describes it as "partial 16S ribosomal RNA". It matches the Rfam family "Bacterial small subunit ribosomal RNA", at positions 338 to 795 of the family's 1533-position model. The record is from RNAcentral.